This 231-nucleotide ribosomal RNA is filed under the name uncultured bacterium. RNAcentral's name for it is "partial 16S ribosomal RNA". It matches the Rfam family "Bacterial small subunit ribosomal RNA", at positions 91 to 339 of the family's 1533-position model. The record is from RNAcentral.
CCUAGCGGCAGACGGGUGAGUAACGCGUGGAUAUCUGCCUUUUGGUUCGGAACAACACGGGGAAACCUGUGCUAAUACCGGAUAAGUCCUAACGGAGAAAGUUUUAAUGCCAAAAGAUGAGCUCGCAUUUGAUUAGCUAGUUGGUGAGGUAAAAGCUCACCAAGGCGAUAAUCAAUAGCUGAUUUGAGAGGAUGAUCAGCCACACUGGGACUGAGACACGGCCCAGACACC